This is a small nuclear RNA of Neogale vison (American mink), 107 nucleotides long. The record is from Ensembl. Lineage: Eukaryota; Metazoa; Chordata; Mammalia; Carnivora; Mustelidae.
UGUACUCGCUUCAGCAGCAAUACACUAAAAUUGGAAUGAUAUAGAGAAGAUUAACAUGGCCCUUGCACAAGGAUGUCAUGCAAAUACAUGAAGCAUUACAAAGAAAG